UACGUAGGGUGCGAGCGUUGUCCGGAAUUAUUGGGCGUAAAGGGCUCGUAGGCGGUUUGUCGCGUCGGGAGUGAAAACACUGGGCUUAACUCAGUGCUGGCUUUCGAUGCGGGCAGACUAGAGGUAUACAGGGGAGAACGGAAUUCCUGGUGUAGCGGUGAAAUGCGCAGAUAUCAGGAGGAGCACCGGUGGCGAAGGCGGUUCUCUGGGCAUUACCUGACGCUGAGGAGCGAAAGCGUGGGGAGCAAACAGG
This 253-nucleotide unclassified non-coding RNA is filed under the name uncultured Nocardioidaceae bacterium. RNAcentral describes it as "contains 16S-23S intergenic spacer region". It matches the Rfam family "Bacterial small subunit ribosomal RNA", at positions 524 to 776 of the family's 1533-position model. The record is from RNAcentral. Lineage: Bacteria; Bacillati; Actinomycetota; Actinomycetes; Propionibacteriales; Nocardioidaceae.